Molecule: unclassified non-coding RNA, 21 nt
Filed under: Mus musculus (house mouse)
Lineage: Eukaryota; Metazoa; Chordata; Mammalia; Rodentia; Muridae
Description: oocyte_clustered_small_RNA2367
Source: RNAcentral
AGUCGGCUACUCGGAGGCGCA